Molecule: ribosomal RNA, 243 nt
Filed under: Vibrio parahaemolyticus
Lineage: Bacteria; Pseudomonadati; Pseudomonadota; Gammaproteobacteria; Vibrionales; Vibrionaceae
Description: partial 23S ribosomal RNA
Rfam family: Bacterial large subunit ribosomal RNA
Source: RNAcentral
UUAACUGGGCGUUCAGUCUCUGGAUAUAGACCCGAAACCAGGUGAUCUAGCCAUGGGCAGGUUGAAGGUUGAGUAACAUCAACUGGAGGACCGAACCGACUAAUGUUGAAAAAUUAGCGGAUGACUUGUGGCUAGGGGUGAAAGGCCAAUCAAACCUGGAGAUAGCUGGUUCUCCCCGAAAGCUAUUUAGGUAGCGCCUCGGACGAAUACUACUGGGGGUAGAGCACUGUUAAGGCUAGGGGG